This 3142-nucleotide long non-coding RNA is filed under the name Homo sapiens (human). Its description in RNAcentral is "non-protein coding NCK1-DT:36". The record is from RNAcentral. Lineage: Eukaryota; Metazoa; Chordata; Mammalia; Primates; Hominidae.
GAAGAAAGAAAAGAAGGGCAACAACCAGGGGAAGAAUAUGGAUGAAUCAGUCCAAAUUUAUCAUCAUCACUGUGCCUUUCUGGUGACAGGUCAGUGGUGAUAAUGCUCUUUGAGGAUGACUCCCUGCAGUACUAACGGAAGCACAAAAGUGCCAGAACUGGAUGACAGCUCACUUAUUUCAGGCUAGAAAAAAAUCUGGGCACACUAGGGUGAAUGAUAAGCUCCUUGGCAUGCUAGCCAAAAUCAGCUUAAAAGAGGGCUACCUGGGUACAAGAGAACCCUUAUUUUGGGUUGAAAAGCAGAAGCUUCCCAAGAGGGAAGAUACACUGAAGCUGAAGGUGUGGCAGUCCCCCCAACCAAUUAGACUGGGGAUGAAGGCUGCUUAGUUGGACUAGGAAAAGUAAUGGAUACUGGAUUCCAGAGUGGGCAAUGUUGGGAGGAGCAAGGUAGAAUGUGAUUUAAAGGGACUAAGAAAUUUUGGGCUGAGCUAGGCUAUAGGAGAAUGGUAGACAGACCUGAGGAUUUUGCUGGGCUGUGUCAGUCUGGGUUAUAGAAGUGGGUGGAAAUUACAACUAAGGGACUUGGAGAUGAGGGGAGGUAAGAAGACAGAUCUGAUGGUAUUGAGGUAGGGGCUGCUAAGAGAAGCAUCAAACAGGAGGGCUAGCCCAGGUUUGAGCUGGACACUCCACUGACAGUUCUAAAGCAGAAAAUUAGGGAAGGAAUAGUCAGGGGCUUAUCAGCUAUGCAGUAGCUUCUAGAAGUCAACAGCUGGCUCUGGGAGGGAAAAGAUUGAGAAAAACAAAAGAAAUAAAUAAGAGCAGAAGGUAUAGGGGAAAAGGUAGGGGUGAGAGUUAUCAGUCUGGUUAGAGCUGGGCUAAACAUUUAGUCUUACCAUCAGUUUAAAAGCACCUGGACCAGUUAGUUGCUGUACAGGCAAAGUCAAAGGGAGAAGCCUGGCCUCUCUCUACUCAGUCAAGGUUCAUGACUUUAGGAGACUGCAAUGAACCAGGCAUACCAGGAAAGGAAAAGGUUAACUGAGGUUGAAAAAAAAACUUUAUGUGGCACUUUUAAACAAGCAGGUUGGUUUGGCUUGUGUGACUAUGAUGGUGCCUGAUUUUGAGCAGAGCAAUUUGUGUUGUGACAUUUUAAAAUCCAUUCUGGCACUUGGUGAUGAAUGUGUUGGCUGGCAGCUAAGAACUUGCUAGAAUGCAAGUAUGCAAGUCUUCACCAUUUAUAAUCGACACUUCCUUUCCAGGAAAGAGCCUUUCUAAUCUUUGAAUCAGUGGAUUUAUCAAUUUGCAUAAAAUAUGCCAUCCUCAAUGAACACAUUUAUCAUCUACCACUUAACUUUCCUUCUGUUAAAAAAAAAAAAAAAGCAGAAUCACCUUCCUGUGAGUCAGCAGCUUUAAAUUCAGCUGUGCUGGGUGAAGCUGUUAAGGGUAGGAAGGAGCCAUCACUAGAAGGGGGAGAAGCAGGAAUAAAAUGAUCUUUUCUAUUUCCAUGAUUUUUUAUGUUUCUGUUUAAAUGGUUAAAUACCCAAUUAGGUUAGAUGCUAAUUAAAUGUAAAAUUACUGGGCUGUUCCAAUAUGCAUGUUAAAGUUGUACUUCUUGGUUGUUUGUAAUUUACCUAACUCUUGAGAGAUCAUCAGAGCAGCCCAGCUGAGUUUAAAGAAGGCUUCCAACUGCCCAGGAUAUGCAUCAGUUCCUGAACAAAAAAAGAACACCCCAGGAUCAACAGAAGCUACUAUCAAAUCCUUCAAACACUACAUGCACCACAUGCUCACAUUUGUCCUAUUUUUGCUACUAUUUAUCCACAAAAAAGCCAAGCCUGAACUCCUUCUUGAGGCCAAAACUUAAAAAUAUACCAAAUGAAUCAGUUCAAAAUUUUACAAAUUUGGUUUGGCUUAAUCAUAACUGAUUCUUCAUACUAUUGACACCGUUGAUUCUUCACACUAUAGAUACCACUCACUAAAAUUACAACUCAGUCACCUCUUCCCAUAUACCAUAUUUCAUUAAAAUCAAUGUAAGAUAAGAAAUGGUUACCAGAUGCCAUCGUUUCAGACCAAACCAUAUGUCAAAUUUUGAAUAAACCUAACAACAUCUGAUUGGUUAAGUAGCAUACCUAGAUUUAUUAAAAUCACUACACUCCUUUAAUGUCUGUAGGAGAACAUGCAUGCACAAGCACACACACGUUGUGUGUGCAUUUAUAUAUAUAUAUAUAUAUAUAUAUAUAUAUAUAUAUGUAUAUGCUACUGCAAAAUUGAAGAGACUUUACCAAGUUCUGUCAUUGACAGGGACAUUAUAUAUAAAGAAUAUACAUACUGUAAUUCACCUCAUCAAGAGUUAAUUUUAUGGCCGGGCACAGUGGCUCACACCUGUAAUCCUAACACUUCGGGAGGCAGAUCACUUUGAGCUCAGGAGAUUUGAGACCAGCCUGGGCAACGUGGCAAAAACCCAUCUCUACAGAAAAAUACAAAAAUGAGCUGGGCGUGGUGACUCCCGCCUGUAGUCCCAGCUGUAUACAUGGGAGGCUGAGGCUGGAGGAUUGCUUGAGCCAGGUAGCAGAGGUUGCAGUGAGCCAAGAUUGUACCAGUGCACUCCGCCCUGGGUGACAGAGCAAGACCUUGUUUCAAAAAAAAAAAAAAGAGUUAAUUGUACCAGGAACAUGUGGUGUCAAAAUUUAAAAUAUGUGAACUCUUUGACCCAGCAAUGCUAUUUUCAGGGAUAUAUCCUAAGAUCAUCACCAGCAAAGUAUAUAAGGAUGUGCAUGCAAAAAUAUUCAUCAUGGCUUUCUUUAUACAAUGAAAAAUUGGAAAUAAACUUCUCAUUAAUGGGAUGCUGGUUAAAGAAAAUCAUUACUGUAAUAUGCAGCCAUCUAAAAGGGUAAUUUAUAUGUAUAUAUAUUUACAUAAGAAAACCCUCAUGUCAUAUUGCUGAGUAAAAAGAAAGAUGUCAAUGAGUAUUCAUGAUGUGAUUCUAUUUAUCCUUGCAAAUGGUGGAAAUUCAAUUAUAUGGUAUUUUCUCUCUUUUCUGUUUGUUUUUCAUAUAUGUAUAUAUUUCCUUUGAAAUCAGAAAAAAAUCAAGCUAUUUUCAUCAGAGGAAAAAAAUCAUUACUCUGUAUUUCAGUCACACUAAAAUAGUC